This 439-nucleotide ribosomal RNA is filed under the name uncultured bacterium. RNAcentral describes it as "partial 16S ribosomal RNA". It matches the Rfam family "Bacterial small subunit ribosomal RNA", at positions 338 to 795 of the family's 1533-position model. The record is from RNAcentral.
CCUACGGGUGGCAGCAGUGGGGGAUAUUGCACAAUGGGGGGAACCCUGAUGCAGCGACGCCGCGUGGGUGAAGGAGCGUUUCGGCGCGUAAAGCCCUAUCGGCAGGGAAGAAGAUGACGGUACCUGACCAAGAAGCCCCGGCUAACUACGUGCCAGCAGCCGCGGUAAUACGUAGGGGGCAAGCGUUAUCCGGAUUUAUUGGGUUUAAAGGGUGCGUAGGCGGACAGUCAAGUCAGCGGUAAAAAUGCGGUGCUCAACGCCGUACAGCCGUUGAAACUGGCAGUCUUGAGUGGGCGAGAAGUAUGCGGAAUGCGUGGUGUAGCGGUGAAAUGCAUAGAUAUCACGCAGAACUCCGAUUGCGAAGGCAGCAUACCGGCGCCCGACUGACGCUGAGGCACGAAAGCGUGGGUAUCGAACAGGAUUAGAUACCCCUGUAGUC